UACGGGGGGUGCAAGCGUUGUUCGGAAUUACUGGGCGUAAAGGGCUCGUAGGCGGCCCACUAAGUCAUACGUGAAAUCCCUCGGCUUAACCGGGGAACUGCGUCUGAUACUGGAUGGCUUGAGUGCGGGAGAGGGAUGCGGAAUUCCAGGUGUAGCGGUGAAAUGCGUAGAUAUCGGGAGGAACACCUGAGGCGAAGGCGGGUUGCUGGGCUGACACUGACGCUGAGGCGCGAAAGCUAGGGGAGCGAACGGG
Molecule: ribosomal RNA, 253 nt
Filed under: uncultured bacterium
Lineage: Bacteria
Description: partial 16S ribosomal RNA
Rfam family: Bacterial small subunit ribosomal RNA
Source: RNAcentral